Molecule: long non-coding RNA, 2083 nt
Filed under: Macaca fascicularis (crab-eating macaque)
Lineage: Eukaryota; Metazoa; Chordata; Mammalia; Primates; Cercopithecidae
Description: lncRNA (ENSMFAG00000022580.2)
Source: RNAcentral
CUUGAUGAGCCUCAUCUGUAAAAUGGGCUCAAGAAAGUCAUCUUCCCAGAGGCGGCGGAAACGGUCCACCUAGGGAACGGAGCAGGGCAUCUUUUCGCAGCCGAGCCCAGAACCCAUCACCUAAAGAGUUCUGGAUGAUUUGUUGGGAUUUUUUUUUUUUUAAAUCACCCUCGCCGUCGUCAUCAAAGAGCCUUGCCUAGGGCCUGGCACAGAGUAGGCGCUCAGUUAGAAGCUGUCUGGCCUUUUCACAUUCUCCCGGGUCGGCACACACAGAUUUGGGAGUAUUUAACUGCACAGAACGCACCUUCGGGAACUGCCAACCGGAAGCAAAAUCCAAAGCCACUCUCUGUGAUCCCUUCACUUUUAACUCUCAGUGUGCACUUUCUUUUUUUUUUUAACUGAGCAUCUAUUAUGUGCUAGGCACUGUCCCGGUGUUCGGGGACGCAGCUGUGAAUGAACAGAAACGGGGGCCGGGGGACAGCGGAGAAACCCUCUUCAUGGACCUUAGAUGGCGGGGGGUGGGGAAGGAGAGACAGAAAAUAAACAGAAAUAUCUGUCCCCAGCUGCCAGAGGAGGAGGAAACGGGCUUUGCGAUGGUGACAUUGACUUCUUUGAAAGCUGGGUUUGUUGGCCUCUGAACUCUGGCCUUUGUGGGAUCUGUUCUUUUGGAAACGAUGGGAGCCCUUGGGUUCCUAGAUCCCAGCCUGGCUGGGUGGACUAGGGUGGGGAGGUGGUGUCCACCUGGGUGGCCCCGUUGUCACUCCCUAACGCCCGUCCCUUCUCCCCCAGGUGAGGGGCCUUCCCAUCCCAGGAGGGUUUUCUACUUUCAACCGACCCAGGACUUUCCCAUAAAUUCCAACCGUUCUUUGGACACCAGCCCUUUCCUCCCCUCUUCUCCCCUUGCCCCGCCCCUCUACUGGAGGCCACCUGGAGUGGGGAGGGGCCUUUGGGGGUCUGUCCUGGGGCAGGGGGGAGGCUCCUGAAUCGGGCACAGAAGUGUUCACACGCCCCCUGCUUUGGGAAACGCCCUCGCUUCUUCCCCACAAAACUUGGUGACUUUCCCCAAACUAAAUCACACCUUUUCCUAUAUAUAUAUAUGCAUAUAUAUAUAGAUCUAUAGACAGUAUAUAUAUUUUUUGAGUACGGAUCAUGGGACCAAACUUUUCCGACUUCCUUCCAUCCGAGUAGAGUGACCCUGGGCCGGUCACUCAGCGGGGACACAGGAAGGGCUGAGGUUGGCAGGCCCCCGGGCAACACGUACCAGGUGCCCCACCGCCCUCCCCCACCACCUCCCGGCUGGCACAUCCCACCAGGAACCCGCCAACACAAUAUACCUCCAGGACUUUUGGCACCCCCCACCACCGAUUCUCCAGGGCCAUUGGGCUCUGCCAGCUUCAGUGUCCCUGGUCCCAGCUGCGGCCUCCAGACCCCACCUCGCCCCUUUGUCCCAGAGCCCUGCCCUCCCGGAUGGAUAUAGGUACAACAGAGACGCUCUGGCCUGCCUCAGCCCUUCUCUGCUCCCCUGCCCGAGUCAUAGCCUUACUCAUGCGACCAGUAGCCCUUAGCUUUCUGUCGGAGGCGGGGCGGACAGGGCUGGGGGGAGCCCCCCCCGCCCCUCACCACCCCCUCCCAAGGCCAGGCAGCCAUCGUCCCUGCCUUCGAAUCACCAGCCUCGAAUUUAAGGUCUUGUAACCAGGAUUGCCAAGCGUAGCGGAAGACCCUACCUGGACUGGCCAAGCACCCCUUUAACUGGAGAUGAACUUGAUAAUGACCUUCAUACCUCUACAGAGAUUUUUUUUUCUUUUUUUCCGGUCUUUCUGAGCAGGUACAAAGAAGAAAAGAGAAGAAAAAGAUGGGGGGAAAGAAUCAAACCACAGUGGAUUUUUGUUUCCUCGUUGGGAGUGGGGUGGGGUGGGGGGUUUUUGUGGGGUGCCUCUGUACAGCUACCCAAUCCGCAACACCCACGUCAAAGCACAGAAUCAAGUUCGUUCGGACAUCCAGCAAGGCCUCUUACCAAAUGAGGCGCCAGAUAUCUUAACAAGCUCAAAAGAAAAAAACAUUUAAAAAGAAAAAAAAAAAAAAA